AAAGUAAAAGAAAGAAAGAAACAAAGAAGAAAAGAAACAGAAUAGCUAGAAAAGAAGCAGGGAAAGAGACGAAAACAGGGGAAGAUAAGGGGAAAGAAAAAUAAAAGGGAAAACUAAGGAUUUAAAGCUUCAAGUUAAUUGCUAACAAGGAAAAUGAGGCAUCGGCAUCUAAAGGAAAAGAAAAGAUCGUUGAGGAGUAAACGCGUAUUCCGGGUUGAAAAGGGGUUAGAGUCUCGGUUCAGCAUCCAGGACAAUCCCGACUCCGACAUAAAGAUUUUGGUGAUGUUUUCUUCCUUUAAGAGAAAGUGGCAUGUACAUAGGAUUUAUAAUAGUUAUUUUGGCAUGUUAUAUAGUUUUGUUGUAAAGUAAGAUAUUAUGUGUUUUGAUGAGUAUAUUAGAAAAAUGGUAUAAGUUAUUUUUAUAGCAUUGGUAUCAAGUUGAAAUUAGUUA
This is a long non-coding RNA of Gossypium raimondii (Peruvian cotton), 450 nucleotides long. RefSeq lists it as uncharacterized. The transcript has 3 exons. The record is from RefSeq and is a predicted model, not a curated record. NCBI's taxonomy places the organism in Eukaryota, Viridiplantae, Streptophyta, Magnoliopsida, Malvales, Malvaceae.